UGGCUCAGGACCAACCCCGGCCGGCGGGUCUAACACAUGCCAGUCGAACGAGGCUUUCCGGUGCUUGCACUGGAAAAUCGAGUGGCGAACGGGUGAGUAAUACAUGAGAAACCUGCCUUGGAGAUGGGGACAACCUCGGGAAACUGAGGCUAAUACCCGAUAUCCCUGCCCAGUCGCAUGACUUGGCAAGAAAAUACUCAGGUGCUCCCAGAGGGUCUCAUGCCCUAUCAGCUUGUUGGUGAGGUAAAAGCUCACCAAGGCUUAGACGGGUAGCUGGUCUGAGAGGACGAUCAGCCACACUGGGACUGAGACACGGCCCAGACUCCUACACUAGGCAGCAGCGUGUCAUCUUGCGCCAUGGGCGAAAGCCUGACGCAGCCACGCCACGCGUGCGACGACGGCCCUCGGCUUGUAAACCACUUUCAGCAGGGACGAAAAUGACCUGACCUGCAGAAGAAGCUCCGGCCAACUACGUGCCAGCAGCCGCGGUAACACGUAGGGGGCCAGCGUUGUCCCGAAUUACUGGGCGUAAAGGGCUCGUAGGCCGUUUGGUAAGUCAGAUGUGAUAACUCCAGGCUCAAAUUGGAGACGACAUCUGAUACUGCCCUGACUAGAGUUUGGGAGAGGAGUGCAGAAUUCCCCGUGCACCCGUGAAAUGCGCAUAUAUCGGGAGGAAUACCAGUCAGCGAACGCGGCACCCUGGCCCACAACUGACGCUGAGGAGCCAAAAGCUGGGGUGGCAAACAUGAUAGAUACCCUUGUAGUC
RNAcentral lists this ribosomal RNA (766 nucleotides) under uncultured bacterium. RNAcentral describes it as "bacterial SSU rRNA". It matches the Rfam family "Bacterial small subunit ribosomal RNA", at positions 20 to 795 of the family's 1533-position model. The record is from RNAcentral.